UCGAGGGGCAGCACAGGUAGCAAUACCGGGUGGCGACCGGCGCACGGGUGAGUAACGCGUAUGCAACUUACCUAUCAGAGGGGGAUAACCCGGCGAAAGUCGGACUAAUACCGCAUGAAGCAGGGGCCCCGCAUGGGGAUAUUUGCUAAAGAUUCAUCGCUGAUAGAUAGGCAUGCGUUCCAUUAGGCAGUUGGCGGGGUAACGGCCCACCAAACCGACGAUGGAUAGGGGUUCUGAGAGGAAGGUCCCCCACAUUGGUACUGAGACACGGACCAAACUCCUACGGGAGGCAGCAGUGAGGAAUAUUGGUCAAUGGCCGAGAGGCUGAACCAGCCAAGUCGCGUGAGGGAUGAAGGUUCUAUGGAUCGUAAACCUCUUUUAUAAGGGAAUAAAGUGCGGGACGUGUCCCGUUUUGUAUGUACCUUAUGAAUAAGGAUCGGCUAACUCCGUGCCAGCAGCCGCGGUAAUACGGAGGAUCCGAGCGUUAUCCGGAUUUAUUGGGUUUAAAGGGUGCGUAGGCGGCCUUUUAAGUCAGCGGUGAAAGUCUGUGGCUCAACCAUAGAAUUGCCGUUGAAACUGGGGGGCUUGAGUAUGUUUGAGGCAGGCGGAAUGCGUGGUGUAGCGGUGAAAUGCAUAGAUAUCACGCAGAACCCCGAUUGCGAAGGCAGCCUGCCAAGCCAUUACUGACGCUG
This 692-nucleotide ribosomal RNA is filed under the name uncultured bacterium. RNAcentral describes it as "bacterial SSU rRNA". It matches the Rfam family "Bacterial small subunit ribosomal RNA", at positions 62 to 748 of the family's 1533-position model. The record is from RNAcentral.